AUUGCAACACCGAUUUGACAAGAGUAAUUCGCCCUGCCAGCGAAAGAUGUCUUUUCUUCCAACUUGCCACUUUGUUUGAGACUUUAUCAACCAAAAACUUCCAAUCUCCAACACCAUUGCUGCGCCCCCCCACUUUAGUACCCAAGUAUUUGCACGGAAAGGAUCCGAUCUUGCACAUGAGUAGCGAUGCCCAUCUCCUCUCAACUGCCUCAUCCACUCCCACUGUCAGAAGACAGCUUUUGUCGAAAUUUACAGCUAAACCAGAGACGAACUGGAAGAGAAUCAGUAGUUUCUUUACGCUCUCCAUAUUCUUGUCAUCUGCCUCCAACAAGAAGAUAGUAUCGUCCGCGUACUGCAGAUGUGAAAUUGGUACUUUAUCCUUG
This 383-nucleotide long non-coding RNA is filed under the name Salvia miltiorrhiza (redroot sage). RNAcentral's name for it is "long non-coding RNA (SMIL_LNC009413)". Lineage: Eukaryota; Viridiplantae; Streptophyta; Magnoliopsida; Lamiales; Lamiaceae. The record is from RNAcentral.